This 460-nucleotide ribosomal RNA is filed under the name uncultured bacterium. RNAcentral's name for it is "partial 16S ribosomal RNA". It matches the Rfam family "Bacterial small subunit ribosomal RNA", at positions 338 to 795 of the family's 1533-position model. The record is from RNAcentral.
CCUACGGGGUGCAGCAGUGAGGAAUAUUGGUCAAUGGGCUUACGCCUGAACCAGCCAAGUCGCGUGAGGGAAGACUGCCCUAUGGGUUGUAAACCUCUUUUGUCAGGGAGCAACGCCGGCUACGUGUAGCCGGACUGAGAGUACCUGAAGAAAAAGCAUCGGCUAACUCCGUGCCAGCAGCCGCGGUAAUACGGAGGAUGCGAGCGUUAUCCGGAUUGAUUGGGUUUAAAGGGUGCGUAGGCGGAAUGCCAAGUCAGCGGUAAAAUCGCGGGGCUCAACCUCGCUCCGCCGUUGAAACUGGCGUUCUUGAGUGGGCGAGAAGUAUGCGGAAUGCGUGGUGUAGCGGUGAAAUGCAUAGAUAUCACGCAGAACUCCGAUUGCGAAGGCAGCAUACCGGCGCCCAACUGACGCUGAAGCACGAAAGCGUGGGUAUCGAACAGGAUUAGAUACCCCGGUAGUC